Molecule: long non-coding RNA, 765 nt
Filed under: Piliocolobus tephrosceles (Ugandan red Colobus)
Lineage: Eukaryota; Metazoa; Chordata; Mammalia; Primates; Cercopithecidae
Description: lncRNA (ENSPTEG00000005884.1)
Source: RNAcentral
AUGUAUAUACGUUAAUAAUUAAAAAUAUGGUAAAUGUAUGCACAUAAACAUAUGUAUAUAUAUGUAUAUGUAUAUAUACAUAGAACAAUGAAAAUUUUUUUUUUUUUUUUUUAUUCUAUCACUGCUUAAGUUUAAGUGCUGUAAAUUGUAAUAAAGAAACGCAUGUAGAGCUUAAUGAGUAUGAACUAAAAAACCAAUUUAGUGUUCGCAUAUUAAAACAAUCUUCUGAAAAUUGUGGUUUAGAAUUUGAAGAUGAAGCAGAAAUUGACAUCAGGGCAUUUUGUAAGAGCUUCUACAUAUAAUAUUUAAAUACAUAUUAAAUAAUUUGUUUAUUAAAAACAAUUUUAUUACUGUGUAAUACUUAUUUAUAUAAAAAAUAAAAAUAAAAUAAUAAUAAUUUUUAAUUUAUCAAUUUUUUAUAUUUAUUUUACAUGGUAACAAUUAUUUAUUGCAGCUCCAGGAGUGAAACUCAUGCCUAGUUUAUCAUCAGUAAUAGUAAAACACACUCUUAUAUGUACGUGCGUGUAUAUAUAUAUAUAUAUAUAUAUAAAAUCCCCUUUAUACUUUGUUUUCAACCCUUUUGUACAUUCAGUUAUAAAUUUCUUUUCAAUUUUUCAGGAUUUCGAAUUUGGAUAUGCUAAUCAGAAGUUUAUAGUCGGAAAAUACAACGUCCCUGAUUUAAAUAAAGGUUUACGAGGGAUGUGUACAGGCGAACUAAGGUUAAAAAAAAAAAAAAGUCUUUUUUUUUUUUUAUGUUUUAUAUGU